RNAcentral lists this ribosomal RNA (465 nucleotides) under Triticum aestivum (bread wheat). RNAcentral describes it as "partial small subunit ribosomal RNA". Lineage: Eukaryota; Viridiplantae; Streptophyta; Magnoliopsida; Poales; Poaceae. The record is from RNAcentral.
AUGCUUGGUGCUGUUUCGCCGUACCACGCAGAGCAUAGCUGCUGCCAUGGAUCCAAACCUUACUCUGACAGAGAGGAACCGCGCCAGCCGAGAGCAAGCCUUGAUUGCCAGUUACAGAGAGAGACUAAGGAGAGAGCUCAGGAUUCCAUGUCGAGGGAGAGACAAUCAGCAGAAGUUGAUGACGAGGAUUCUGGUGGCUGCAAUGGAGGAGGAAUUCAAACUGCAGCUAAAUGGAAGAAGCAGAUCAGCGGAAGAGGUGAUCUUCUGGGCGCUCUCCAUGAGAUCAGUGACGGGUCUGUAUCAGAGGGCUCGGUGGAUAGCCUUCUGGGAGAUCCAACCUUGGAUGCCUCAAAUGUGAGGUUUGCCGACACCCCUGAAGAGAAGCUCGCCGAAGAUAGUGUCGUGAGGCCACCAAAUCCCCUGCAACUCGUGUUCAGCGGCUGUAAUGGAUUAAGUUUCGUGUAG